Molecule: transfer RNA, 66 nt
Filed under: Trichobilharzia szidati
Lineage: Eukaryota; Metazoa; Platyhelminthes; Trematoda; Strigeidida; Schistosomatidae
Description: tRNA-Gln
Source: RNAcentral
AGGUUCAGGUGUUAUUUUGCAUAUUUUGUUUUGGUCAAGAUGGAGGUUUUAGGUUGCCGGAUCUAG